UCCCUUAAGAUGUUAUGCGCGGCUGAAGGUCUUACGAGAUGUUCUCUGCCUCUGGUCAUGGUCAUGUCCCCUAAGAUUUGUUAUGCGCUGCUGAAGGUCUUAUGAGAGGAUUCUCUGCCUAAGGUCCUGGCCAUAUACCAGAUGGUUUGUUAUGCGCGGUUGAAGGUCUUAUGAGCUCUGUGCUCUGCCUAGGUCUCGACCAUGUACCUAAAAUGUUAUGCAUGGCUGAAGGUCUUAUGAGGUGUGGAUUCUUUGUCUCUGCCUCUGGUCUUGGUCAUAUAGGAAAGGAAGAAGGGAAAGCUCGGGAAUACAGCCUUAGAGUUGGGCAAGCAAUCGAGAAGCAAGGUAGCCUUGGACAAAUCGUAGAUAUCGCAGUUCUUGGAAUACUUGAAGGUUAAUCUUGGAAGUGCACGAUAAGCAUACCGUUUUAUAAGUAUACAGCGUGUGCACUCGGCCACGAAGACAAGAGCGGGCGGCGGCAGAGGUAGCAGCAUCUAAGCCAGUAUCUGGGCCAGUUGGCUUCCAUCGAGUUUCCAUAAAACAAGGUUGUUCCUUGCUAGUAACUCUUUCUUUUUG
RNAcentral lists this long non-coding RNA (576 nucleotides) under Vitis vinifera (wine grape). RNAcentral describes it as "long non-coding RNA (VVIN_LNC007667)". Lineage: Eukaryota; Viridiplantae; Streptophyta; Magnoliopsida; Vitales; Vitaceae. The record is from RNAcentral.